Molecule: ribosomal RNA, 433 nt
Filed under: uncultured bacterium
Lineage: Bacteria
Description: partial 16S ribosomal RNA
Rfam family: Bacterial small subunit ribosomal RNA
Source: RNAcentral
AGCGAACGCUGGCGGCAGGCCUAACACAUGCAAGUCGAACGAACUCUUCGGAGUUAGUGGCGGACGGGUGAGUAACACGUGGGAACGUGCCUUUAGGCACGGAAUAACUCAGGUAAACUUGUGCUAAUACCGAAUGUGCUCUUCGGGGGAAAGAUUUAUCGCCUUUAGAGCGGCCGGCGUUUGAUUAGCCAGUUGGGGAGGUAAAGGCUCACCAAGGCGACGAUCAGUAGCUGGUCUGAGAGGCUGAUCAGCCACAUUGGGACUGAGCAACGGCGCAAAAUCCUACGGGAGGCAGCAGUGGGGAAUCUUGCGAAAUGGGCGAAAGCCUGACGCAGCCAUGCCGCGUGAAUGAUGAAGGUCUUAGGAUUGUAAAAUUCUUUCACCGGGGACGAUAAUGACGGUACCCGGAGAAGAAGCCCCGGCUAACUUCGUG